UCCCAUGUAGCUCAGUCGGUAAAGCAUCUGCCUGCAAGGCGGGAGACUUGGGUUCAAUUCCCGGGUCGGGAA
Molecule: transfer RNA, 72 nt
Filed under: Ovis aries (sheep)
Lineage: Eukaryota; Metazoa; Chordata; Mammalia; Artiodactyla; Bovidae
Rfam family: tRNA
About the family: Transfer RNA (tRNA) molecules are approximately 80 nucleotides in length.
Source: Rfam by way of RNAcentral